Molecule: ribosomal RNA, 476 nt
Filed under: Neisseria sp. canine oral taxon 268
Lineage: Bacteria; Pseudomonadati; Pseudomonadota; Betaproteobacteria; Neisseriales; Neisseriaceae
Description: bacterial SSU rRNA
Rfam family: Bacterial small subunit ribosomal RNA
Source: RNAcentral
GAGUUUGAUUCUGGCUCAGAUUGAACGCUGGCGGCAUGCUUUACACAUGCAAGUCGAACGGCAGCGAGGAAGUGCUUGCACUUCUGUCGGCGAGUGGCGAACGGGUGAGUAACGCAUCGGAACGUACCGAGUAGUGGGGGAUAACUGUCCGAAAGGAUGGCUAAUACCGCAUACGCUUUGAGAAGGAAAGCGGGGGACCAUUUGGCCUCGCGCUAUUCGAGCGGCCGAUGUCUGAUUAGCUGGUUGGUGGGGUAAAGGCCUACCAAGGCGACGAUCAGUAGCGGGUCUGAGAGGAUGAUCCGCCACACUGGGACUGAGACACGGCCCAGACUCCUACGGGAGGCAGCAGUGGGGAAUUUUGGACAAUGGGGGGAACCCUGAUCCAGCCAUGCCGCGUGUCUGAAGAAGGCCUUCGGGUUGUAAAGGACUUUUGUCAGGGAAGAAAAGGUUGCGGUUAAUACCCGCGACUGAUGACG